AAAAUAAUCGUAUUUGAGGCCACAACUGACGGAAACGGAUGAAAAUCGUAUUUUUUCUAAAAUAUUAACAGUCUAUUUUUAACUAUAUAGGUUGUGUUAUUUUUAAAAUAACUAAGCCAUAGUUAUUUUCUGACGCAGAAAAUGUAUCCGCAGUGAUUUUACUAACAAAUCAUUUUAUUUUCCCCAAAAACUUGAUUUUAAAGGCAGUAGAAUAUAUAUUAUACAAAAAACAUAUUAAAUAUAUAAUUUUACAAGAUAGUUUAAUUAUAUAAAAAAACGUGGACGUCUAGUGAAAAUUUUGUGAAAGCCGGCAAUUUUUUUGCAAUAAAACGAAGAAAAACAACUUCAGACUGUGUGACAUUUCGCCAAAAGUGUGAUUCCAGCUACGUAGUGACGCAAAGUGAACCUUAUUUCCGAGCAGUUUUGGUGUCUUUUCUUUCUCAACUUUUAAAAGUAUAUUUACAAAAAAAAAACUCUAUUUUGUCUAUGCUAAUAUUACUGGCGUUACAAUGACCGCUUGAAGUUCGCGUUCAAAUUCCGAAUCGUGAGUGCGGUUGGCAGCUGUCAAAAUGCUUACAAUGUCGACGUUGAUGAUGCCAGCUGCUACCAUGACGACUAUGACGAACGCCGGGCCGAUCCCAGUGGCGGCUCCCACGAAGCUGGAGCCAGCUAAGCUGCUGCAGCUCACGCAUCCGGCGCUGAUGCAGCAACAGAUGCCGCAACAACAAAUGCAGCAGCACCAGCAGCAGCAGCAGCCUACGCAGAACAAUAGCAAAAUCGAACACUACCACAUAUUCGUGGGCGACCUCAGUCCAGAGAUCGAGACGCAGAGUUUGCGGGAUGCCUUCGCGCCCUUCGGAGAGAUUUCAGACUGUCGAGUAGUGAGAGAUCCCCAAACGCUGAAAUCCAAAGGAUAUGGAUUUGUUUCUUUUUUGAAAAAAUCGGAGGCGGAGUCGGCCAUCACGGCGAUGAACGGGCAGUGGCUCGGCUCGCGGUCCAUCCGGACCAACUGGGCCACCCGGAAACCGCCCGCGCCCAAAACUGAAUUGAACUCCAAGCCGCUGACCUUCGACGAGGUGUACAACCAGAGCUCUCCCACCAACUGUACGGUCUACUGCGGCGGGCUCGCCAACGGGCUGUCCGAGGAGCUGAUGCAGAAGACCUUCCAGCCCUUCGGCACCAUACAGGAGAUACGCGUGUUCAAGGACAAGGGAUACGCUUUUAUUAGAUUCUCCACGAAAGAGAGCGCAACACACGCCAUCGUGGCGGUGCACAACGCCGAUGUCAACGGGCAGCCCGUCAAGUGCUCCUGGGGGAAGGAGUCCGGGGAUCCCAAUAAUGCGCAGGCUCAGGGACAGCUAAGCGGCACGCCCUACAGCCCAUUCGGGGCCGCUUACGGAUGCGGCGCCGUCCCCGCCGCCGGCUAUUGGUACAACGCGGGGUACCCGCAGCAGCUGGGCGGGUUCCUGCAGGGCGUGCAGGGGUACUCCUACGCCGGGCAGUAUGCUCAGUACGCUCAGCACCAGUAUAUGCCUGCUGGAACACCAUUCUCCUCCUCGAGCAUGGGCGGCGUGGCGCAGCUGCCGGGCGCGUGGGCGCUGGGCGGCGGCGUGGGCGGAGUGGGCGCCGUGGGCGGGGUGGGCGGUGUGGGCGGCGUGGCGGCCAUGUCCGCGCAGCCGCCGCAGGUGCUCCACUAUCCUGUGCAGCACUUCCAGGUGCAACCGAUCGCCGAAGACGAGUGGCUGGCCCCCAGCCUGCUGGUGUGAGGACAGCGGCCCCCGCCCCCCGACCCCUGUCCCUGCAACUCGCAACAGAAACAAGAAUGGGACAGAAAUAAGGACAUCGGGCGAGCUGUGCUUAUGAAAAACAGCUUUUAGAGUGUCGAAAUAAGGUUUCAAAUGGAUAAAAAUAAAUAAGCGGGAAAACAAAUACAAAAGAAGAGACACAAGUAAUGUGAGUCAUAAAUAUGGACGAAUCUAGUUUAUAAUCAUAAAAAAAUGCUUAUGAAAAUGCGUAUAUAAAAAAUGCAUAAAAAUUUAACUUAAGUUACCUGUAGACGUUAAUUAAGUUAGGCUAAAUUAACACGCGGGCCAAAUGGUUGGAGAAAAUUAACGAAAAAAAAGAAUUUUUCGGCUUAAACAAAAAGGCGGGCAGAUUUGAUGAUUGGGUACCAACACAUCAGAAGCACAAUGGUAGAAUAAAUAAGAUUAGACUAAAUUAGUAUUUUGGAAACAUGUUUAGUAGAAAGUAACAUAGUAAAAAAAACAUAGAACGGUUCACAUCUAAGAGUGAGAAAAGUUUUUUAAACAUUUUUUAUCUAUGAAGAUUGUUAGGAACGCUAUGUGAUGUGUCAUAGAAUUAGAGAUACAAUAAAAACUGUAGUGGACAAACUUUACAAAGAAGUCACUAGUCAUUUCAGACUUUUUUUUGUUUUUUGCAAAAAAAAAUGGACAAUGCCAAAUUCAAUUCCAUAAUUUACGAAGUCGAAAUAAAACUAUUAAAACUACUGUUAUAAUGAUGGUUGUGUCUAAUAAUAAAAAGAUACACAUAAAAAAAAUCUUGAAAAAUACCGAUACUAGUCGAAAUAUUAGAUUUAUUUAUUAUAUAGGAAAUUAAGUAAAAAGAAAAAAUAUUUAUUGCAUAGAUAAUAAGAAAUACUCGUUUACUGUAGACAAUGGAGAAAGUGUAAGGAUUAAUUUAAAAAAAAAAACCUUUUUUCAAUGCUCAGCUAAUCUUCUUUUCCUUCAGUUUCCACCGCUAACUCUUUUGAUGGAAGAAUAUAAAAAAAUGUAAGACAACGGAUAAAUUUAGGCAAGUGAGAUGAUGUUCUUGCUAAAGAGCAUCAUUUAUUUGAAGCGUGUGAAUUUUAAGAGAUAACAUUUUAGUGUUGUAACUUUUUAGAUAGAAUCGACGUACCUAGAUGAUAGCCUACUUAAACUGUCAUUUUUGAAACUUUUUGCGAGGUCGAGGAAGAACUACAGAAACCUCAAACGAAGGAAUAUUUUGUAAAUGAUGUAUUUUAUAUAUUAUAUUGACAAAAGUGUUAUUUGGUUUACUGUCGUAGGUUCAGUUUCUUUGUUAGCAUGUUUCGUUUGGCACUAGUAUAAUUUUUCGAGCCUGUUAGAGAAAACUUGUGAGACAUAUCGCUAGAACAUGAAAUAUAUUAUUAAGAUAUAUAGUAUUUAUAUAUUAAAAAUAUAGUACGUUAAAUAUUGUAUUGUAUUUUAAGCUGAUAAGGUAUGAAUUGUGAGGCGUCAAUUUCACUAAGUCAAUAGAACGAAGGACAAUUGGGGAUAUGUACAGUAAGGGGCAGAUAAACCUGACCCCCCUCAGAAGCAUUGUUACUAUGAGAUGGGGGUCAGGUUUCUCUGCACCUGACCGUACCUUGGAGAUGGAACCUGUGGAAGCCAGAUUAUAUCAAACCACAUUGAAAUUCGAGAAAGUUAGAUAGUCAAAUUUAGUGUUAGUCAAACAUAUAAUGAAUGCUAGUUAUUAGUGAAAUCAUAUAAAAAGCCCAUAACCGCUUGAUGUAGUGAAAUAGUAAGCAUUAAAAUAUUGUAACAAAUAUAUCCGAAUAGAUAUGUAAGGAGUAUAAUGUUAAAAAAAUACUGGUUUUCGCAGAAGUCGAAUAUGAGACAAAAAUCUUGAAUCGACUUGUCUAUGCCUUUCUUGUUGCUAUAUACUUCCCUAUAUACAUACAUACAUACAUAUAUAGUUAAAUGCUAAACUUAAUUAAGGAUAAAUAAAUGGCUUUGCAGCCUACACUAUAUAAAAUAAGGUACAUAGAUGUAAAGCGUUAAUAUAUAAACGAUAAUGGAUUAACUCCCUACUUGGAAGAGAGUGUGUUAGCUAGGUGAAUUGCAAGUUAUUUAAAAGUAUAUUUAAAUAUAUACAAAAUGAUUGCGCAAAUAUCUUAAAAAUAACAAUAUAAUCUAUCGUUUAGAUAGGCUAUUAAAAUAUCGUAAGUGAUUUCCAUUUUUUUUAAGCCAUGUUUUUCAUUUAAGUAUUUAUUUUUGGUUUGUAAAUGUAAACCUUCUUCAUUCCAUUAAUAUAAGGUACAAUAGUAUGUAUACAAUAUAUAUUAAACUUAUAUUUUAAAUAUAUAAUUUUAAGUCCCAAAUAUAACACCAAAUAUUUUAUAAUCCUGAUCAUUAUGUAAGUAAAAUGAGUAGGUCGAUGGUAAUUAUAAAGUCUCGUAUAGUCUCAUACAAAACAGUUUAAAACAUAAUGUAAAACUUUUAACCAAUUUUAGCUAUAUAUAAUACUUUAGACACACCUACUAAAAUUAAUUUGCAUAGUGGAGGCAAGAGCUGGUAUGUUUUGUAUUCAAAAAUAUAUAUGUUGAAAUUAUUGUCAAAUAACAUUUAAACUAUCUUCUGUGUAAAAAGUUCAAUUUUCAAGCAAUUUACACCGCCCAUUAGGUGGCGUUUUCAAGAAUAAGAUUUUUAAUAAUAUUGAAAAUAAUUUUUAUUGAUUUAUGAAAACACACCUCUUUUAGGCGUGUGUUCUUAUAACCUACUCGUGAAACUAAAAAAAUCGUUUUUUACUCAAAAAACGUUACCAGCUCUAGCUCACAUAGUGCCAAAAAGUUAAUUUCAUUUCCUGGUUUCUAUCCUUUUAAAAAUAUUCUACAUCAUGUCUAUUGGUCCGUCUUUCCACGUCUCGAAACACCAAUUAUAUUCAGACUUAAGUAUAAAUCCUCUAAGAGUGAUAAAAAUAUUACAGUCUUGAUUUUUUAAAUACAAUUUAAAGCAAUAAACAAAAACUGUAGAGAAAAACACAAAACGUCAAACGUUUUAUCAUAUCCGUAGUAGCAAUUUUUUAAAAUCAAGACUGAAAUAGCUAGCCUAUAGUGCGUUUCGUUGGUAAAAAAAAUAGAUGAUGAUUAUUUUGUAGGCUUUCAUUCGCUGCUUUUAUAUUUUUUUAUUCAAAGGAAAAUGAUUCAUCAAUGGGAAAGAAAACCAAGUGAAACUUUGGCAGCACCAGCGAGUGCGCCUUUUUGGUUCUGACCAAUUACAUUGUUGGGGAAAAAAAAUGGCGACUGAACCAACCAAUUAGAACUGCGGAAUCAGGCACAGUCGCCGAAGGCGCCAUCUGUAAUUAGCAUUUAGUUUUUCUCCCCAUUGAAUCUGUAAGCGUGUUGGUACUCUACCGUUGAAAAUGUUUGUUGUUAGUAAAAAUAGCAAAAUAAAUAGUUUGUUUUUUUAAAAUUUUAUUUUGUUAUUGAUUUAGAUACUAACGAUUUUGUUUGCUUAUAAAAUUUUAUGUGUGUCUUUUUUAACACUUAUCUUGUUUUCUCAUUAUAGUUGCUAUAAUCUGUGAUUUAUUUUGCGAAAUUCUGGUUUGCAAGCCUUCAAAAUAAAAUCAUCUAUUCGUAUAACAAAACGAUAAAGACUUUAGUCGAGAAUAUUACUAAGUGUGUCCCUUUUAAAAAUCAAUUUCUUAGUAAAUGUAUUUUGUUUUAGAUACAAGCUAGAGGUUUUGAUGUGUUGUAGUGUAUUUUUAACUAACGUUUACUCUUUUUCACUUUUUUGUUGUAGAAAUUCUUGUCUUCUAGGUGUGGUUUUUACUGUUUCGCUUUUUACGAAAUUCCGAUAAAAUAUAUGAAAUGCCUUACCAACAAGCUAAGAACUGAUGUAAGAAGGAAAAAAAAUGCAAAUGGCUAAUAUAAUUACGGUCAUCACUUUUGUCCACUUGCAUUUCAUGGACACUAGAAUUAUAUUGCUAUGGUGUUACUGUAAUUAUUAUUAUCUUGUAGCUACCUAUAAAUGGUACUAUACUUGUGAACUAAAACAAUUAACAUCACGCUAAUACAACUUGGCCAAAUUUUACAUUGUAAAAUCCGGGCGAAUCACGAUUUUUUGAGCAGUUUGUAUGACAUUUUGAUCAUCGCCGCUGAACUCUCUGAACUAAUAAAAAUGUAUGAAAAAGGAAGUUUUAAAUCAUACAAAAUAGACUGUGUGACACCAUUUUCUUCUCAAUUGACGUAAAUUCAACUGAAACUGGUACAGUAUAAGGCAGAUAAAUCUGACCCCUCUCAGAAGCAUUGUUUCUAUGAGAGGGGGGUCAGUUUUCUCUGCACAUGACCGUACUUGCUGCCUUCGAUAUGCGGUCAAACCUUGAUUUAAUAUUGUUUGCAAUUUAAGUAGAACGUGUCUUUUUAACAAUACUGAAUGAUUGAAACAGCAAUAAUAAUUGUUAUGCAAUAGUUGUGACGUAGAUAUCUUUCUUUCUUGUACUGCUAGAUGAUUCUUAUGAGAAAAAGAAGUAGAUGAAAGAUAUGAUCUUUAAUCGGAGAGUGUUCUAUGAUAAUUUUCUGUACCUGUGAAGUCUCCUUAAAAAGUUUUUUUACAACUUAUUAUGGGUAAUAUUAAAAUAAAAACGAAUUCGGGUCAAUUUUUUUAACACAUCUCCCUUCUUUUUUUCAACCGUCCAUGGAUGUUGUAUUAUUAUACUUAGUCAUUUCAUUUUUUUUGUAGUAAGUAUACCUACUUAACUCAUCAGCUCAAUUUUUCGUGUAAAAAACAACCAAAGUAAUUCUGCAACGCACACUUCUAAAAUUGUAAAAGUGUAUUUAACAGUUUUUUUUUCAAUUAUGUCCUUACCCCCCCCCGAGCUUUGGUUUAAAAAUUAUAAUGUGAUUUUUCGAACUUAAAAAUGAAAUUGACCAUAAAAUGUUAGUGAUUUUACCCUUCACCUUUUUUCUAAUCUUCGCAAUUUAUACAAUAUUAUAUUUAUAUCAUAGGAAUAUGCGAGAUUACUUAAGCUACGUAUAAUUGUACCUCUAAGGAGAAAUUUUGUUAUUUUUUAUACCCCCCUAGAUUUUUUAUUUUUGAGUUAGACCCUUUUUUUGAGAAUGUCUCACUAGGUAAGGCUUAGAUAUAAACGAAUAGUGAGUUUAAGCAUUAUUUAAUUAGUAUAUAAUUGAUUGCUAUGGCAUAAUGAUAAAUCUCAUUUUUGUUAUUUAUUGUUGACGACUUGGUUUUUCUGUGUAAGAUGUUGUUUUGUUAAUGUUUACAAUGGUGUUGAUUUUAACUGUUUAGGUACUUACAGCGAAGAUUUCUUCAUUUUGAAUUUGUCAUUUAUCUAUUAGUCGCAGUCAACGAUCUGGUU
Plutella xylostella (diamondback moth) is the source of this 7113-nucleotide non-coding RNA. Lineage: Eukaryota; Metazoa; Arthropoda; Insecta; Lepidoptera; Plutellidae. The record is from RefSeq and is a predicted model, not a curated record.